RNAcentral lists this small nuclear RNA (23 nucleotides) under Arabidopsis thaliana (thale cress). RNAcentral describes it as "snRNA_19268". The record is from RNAcentral. Lineage: Eukaryota; Viridiplantae; Streptophyta; Magnoliopsida; Brassicales; Brassicaceae.
ACCUCGAUAAUACGGGGUUACGG